Non-coding RNA from Thamnophis sirtalis, 642 nucleotides. The record is from RefSeq and is a predicted model, not a curated record. NCBI's taxonomy places the organism in Eukaryota, Metazoa, Chordata, Lepidosauria, Squamata, Natricidae.
AUAUCAUUUACUCAGAGAAAUCUGGAUAGACUUGCAAUUUCAUAUAGCAUUUUCUCUAUAUAAGAACUUAUAUAUUUGAUACAGUGUUGUCCUGGAAAUUGUCCGUCAUGUGACCAAGUCUGUGGUCGAACGUUAGGAUGUCGUAACCACAAGUGUCCUUCAGUCUGCCACAGAGGCAGCUGUUAUCCAUGCCCUGAAACUGUGGACGUGAAGUGCAAUUGUGGUAAAACUGUUCUCAAAGUACCCUGUGGGAGAGAGCGUACCACCAAACCCCCCAGGUGCAAAGAAUUCUGCAGGCAGCCGCCAACUUGCCAUCAUCCUUGUCGAGAGAAACACAGUUGCCAUUUUGGCCCUUGCCCUCCUUGCCACCAGAUCUGCAAGAAAGUUUUUGAAAAGUGCGGCCACUUGUGCCCUGCUUCUUGCCACGACGAAGCCCUUGUGAAGCAAACUGGCUUGGUGAGACAGAAGCUCGUAACAUACUAAAAGUUUAUUCUACUCUUCUUAGAAAAGAGUUUAAAAGCAAAUUUUAAAAUGUUUGUUGUUCUCUUGAUCCUUAUUGUGUCAGGGUUCUAAAAAACACCCCGAACGAAAUAAAUCUCCGAGGCUUGUGUUUCCUCAAAGUUCUAAUUUAUUAGAGAUGUC